UCCCAGGUGGCUCAGUGGGUAAAGAAUCUGCCUGCAAUGCAGGAGACACAGGUUCAAUCCCUGGAUUGGGAA
RNAcentral lists this transfer RNA (72 nucleotides) under Bos taurus (domestic cattle). It matches the Rfam family "tRNA". Rfam says of the family: Transfer RNA (tRNA) molecules are approximately 80 nucleotides in length. Lineage: Eukaryota; Metazoa; Chordata; Mammalia; Artiodactyla; Bovidae. RNAcentral also lists the same sequence under 1 other name. The record is from Rfam by way of RNAcentral.